This 127-nucleotide small RNA is filed under the name Marmota monax (woodchuck). The record is from RNAcentral. Lineage: Eukaryota; Metazoa; Chordata; Mammalia; Rodentia; Sciuridae.
GCUGGGCAUGGUGGCACAUGCCUGUAAUCCCAGUCGCUCAGGAGGCUGAGGCAGGAGGAUUUCGAGUUUAAAGCCAGCCUCAGCAACUUAGCAAGGCCCUAAAUAACUCAGUGAGAUUCUGUCUCUA